AACGAACGCUGGCGGCAGGCCUAACACAUGCAAGUCGAGCGAGCAUUUCGGUGCUAGCGGCGGACGGGUGAGUAACGCAUGGGAACGUGCCCUUUUCUGCGGAAUAGUCCUGGGAAACUGGGGGUAAUACCGCAUACGCCCUUUUGGGGAAAGAUUUAUCGGAGAAGGAUCGGCCCGCGUUGGAUUAGGUAGUUGGUGGGGUAAUGGCCCACCAAGCCGACGAUCCAUAGCUGGUUUGAGAGGAUGAUCAGCCACACUGGGACUGAGACACGGCCCAGACUCCUACGGGAGGCAGCAGUGGGGAAUCUUAGACAAUGGGGGCAACCCUGAUCUAGCCAUGCCGCGUGAGUGAUGAAGGCCUUAGGGUUGUAAAGCUCUUUCAGCUGGGAAGAUAAUGACGGUACCAGCAGAAGAAGCCCCGGCUAACUCCGUG
RNAcentral lists this ribosomal RNA (433 nucleotides) under uncultured bacterium. RNAcentral's name for it is "partial 16S ribosomal RNA". It matches the Rfam family "Bacterial small subunit ribosomal RNA", at positions 29 to 507 of the family's 1533-position model. The record is from RNAcentral.